RNAcentral lists this ribosomal RNA (783 nucleotides) under Hypholoma fasciculare. RNAcentral describes it as "eukaryotic LSU rRNA". The stretch from base 110 to 783 matches the Rfam family "Eukaryotic large subunit ribosomal RNA", at positions 1 to 658 of the family's 3401-position model. The record is from RNAcentral. Lineage: Eukaryota; Fungi; Basidiomycota; Agaricomycetes; Agaricales; Strophariaceae.
GCCUUGUGCGAACAUGUCUAUUGGUGUGAUAAUUAUCUACGCCGUGGGCUAUUUGCCGUUUAUAGCACUGCUUAUAAUCGUCUGUUCAUUCAGACAAUAUAUGACAAUUUGACCUCAAAUCAGGUAGGACUACCCGCUGAACUUAAGCAUAUCAAUAAGCGGAGGAAAAGAAACUAACAAGGAUUCCCCUAGUAACUGCGAGUGAAGCGGGAAAAGCUCAAAUUUAAAAUCUGGCAGUCUUUGGCUGUCCGAGUUGUAAUCUAGAGAAGUGUUAUCCGCGCUGGACCGUGUACAAGUCUCCUGGAAUGGAGCGUCAUAGAGGGUGAGAAUCCCGUCUUUGACACGGACUGCCAGGGCUUUGUGAUGCGCUCUCAAAGAGUCGAGUUGUUUGGGAAUGCAGCUCAAAAUGGGUGGUAAAUUCCAUCUAAAGCUAAAUAUUGGCGAGAGACCGAUAGCGAACAAGUACCGUGAGGGAAAGAUGAAAAGAACUUUGGAAAGAGAGUUAAACAGUACGUGAAAUUGCUGAAAGGGAAACGCUUGAAGUCAGUCGCAUUGUGUGGGAAUCAACCUUGCUUUUGCUGGGCGUAUUUUCCAUAUGAUGGGUCAGCAUCAAUUUCGACCGUUGGAUAAAGUUCAAGGGAAUGUGGCAUCUUCGGAUGUGUUAUAGCCCUUGGUUGUAUACAACGAUUGGGAUUGAGGAACUCAGCACGCCGAAAGGCCGGGUCUCGUACCAUGUUCGUGCUUAGGAUGCUGGCAUAAUGGCUUUAAUCGACCCGUCUUGAA